GGUUUCCACUUUGGACUCUGGUCUUUAUCUAUUAAAACUGCCCUAACACCUUUAUGAAAGUCAUGGCCUCCCACACAAGCUUGACUCAGCUGAUACUCCAUAGUUAAUGUUUCUUGCAAGGUCUUUGAAGACCCCUCUAUGAUCGGUUGAGCACAAGUCUGAA
Molecule: long non-coding RNA, 163 nt
Organism: Leopardus geoffroyi (Geoffroy's cat)
Lineage: Eukaryota; Metazoa; Chordata; Mammalia; Carnivora; Felidae
Exons: 3
Source: RefSeq, a predicted model, not a curated record